Molecule: microRNA precursor, 108 nt
Filed under: Nicotiana attenuata
Lineage: Eukaryota; Viridiplantae; Streptophyta; Magnoliopsida; Solanales; Solanaceae
Description: MIR6152 microRNA precursor family
Rfam family: MIR6152 microRNA precursor family
Source: Rfam by way of RNAcentral
UGGACAGAUUAUUGUAUUCAAUUGUAUUCGACUGUAUUCAUGGCGUGAAAUAGGGGAUUACACUAUUUUUUAAAACGGAAAGUGAAUCAAUUAACAUAAUAGACUCCU